AGCCCGCUGUGCAGGCCUAACACAUGCAGUCGAACGGUAACAGGAAGAAGCUUGCUUCUUUGCUGACGAGUGGUGGACGGGUGAGUAAUGUCUGGGAAACUGCCUGAUGGAGGGGGAUAACUACUGGAAACGGUAGCUAAUACCGCAUAACGUCGCAAGACCAAAGAGGGGGACCUUCGGGCCUCUUGCCAUCGGAUGUGCCCAGAUGGGAUUAGCUAGUAGGUGGGGUAACGGCUCACCCAGGCGACGAUCCCUAGCUGGUCUGAGAGGAUGACCAGCCACACUGGAACUGAGACACGGUCCAGACUCCUACGGGAGGCAGCAGUGGGGAAUAUUGCACAAUGGGCGCAAGCCUGAUGCAGCCAUGCCGCGUGUAUGAAGAAGGCCUUCGGGUUGUAAAGUACUUUCAGCGGGGAGGAAGGGAGUAAAGUUAAUACCUUUGCUCAUUGACGUUACCCGCAGAAGAAGCACCGGCUAACUCCGUGCCAGCAGCCGCGGUAAUACGGAGGGUGCAAGCGCUAAUCGGAAUUACUGGGCGUAAAGCGCACGCAGGCGGUUUGUUAAGUCAGAUGUGAAAUCCCCGGGCUCAACCUGGGAACUGCAUCUGAUACUGGCAGGCUUGAGUCUCGUAGAGGGGGGUAGAAUUCCAGGUGUAGCGGUGAAAUGCGUAGAGAUCUGGAGGAAUACCGGUGGCGAAGGCGGCCCCCUGUACGAAGACUGACGCUCAGGUGCGAUAGCGUGGCGAGCACACAGGAUUAGAUACACUGGUAGUCCACGCCGUAGACGAUGUCGACUUGUAGGUUGCGCCCUUGAGGCGUGGCUUCCGGAGCUGACGGCGUUAAUGUCGACUGCCUGAGAAGUACGGCCCGCAAAGCUUAAAAACUCAAA
Molecule: ribosomal RNA, 888 nt
Filed under: uncultured bacterium
Lineage: Bacteria
Description: bacterial SSU rRNA
Rfam family: Bacterial small subunit ribosomal RNA
Source: RNAcentral